This 69-nucleotide transfer RNA is filed under the name Coelorinchus kishinouyei (Mugura grenadier). Its description in RNAcentral is "tRNA-Trp". It matches the Rfam family "tRNA". Rfam says of the family: Transfer RNA (tRNA) molecules are approximately 80 nucleotides in length. Their secondary structure includes four short double-helical elements and three loops (D, anti-codon, and T loops). Lineage: Eukaryota; Metazoa; Chordata; Actinopteri; Gadiformes; Macrouridae. The record is from RNAcentral.
AAGGGCUUAGGUUAAAUAGACCAGGAGCCUUCAAAGCUCUCAGCGGGAGUUAAAACCCCCCAACCCUUG